Molecule: long non-coding RNA, 1411 nt
Organism: Cuculus canorus (common cuckoo)
Lineage: Eukaryota; Metazoa; Chordata; Aves; Cuculiformes; Cuculidae
Exons: 4
Source: RefSeq, a predicted model, not a curated record
ACCUCUUUUUCCAGAAGUGAGAAUCAAAGAGGAGGUUCACUAAAAGUAGGUCAUCUACAGUGCCUAAUCCCCAACGCUUCUGCAAGGAAUGGAGAUGGCUGCUUUUUGCAAUUGAAGUAUGUCUCCCAGCAACAAGAGGGACAACUCACCUCCCCCAGAAGCCCACACAUUUCAGGUCCUGGCAGAGAAUCAGACAACCAGAUCAGCAGCAGCUUCAAAGCCACCAGCAUCAGACUGCUCAUAUCGUAGCAGGAGCUUCACCGGUUUCUCCAGUGGCACUUAACAGCCAGCGUGGGCUUAAAAAGUUCUCUACAGGCAGAGCAGUAGGUACGUCUCAGGUACAUGAAAUGGUUUAACAUGGAGAAAAACAAGAAAUUGCUUACAGAGAAGGUGUGUGGGUGAAAAAGGAUUCCUGACAAAUAUCCUUGGAGAUGAACACUCCAGAUGACUAAUUUCUCCCUGCUUCAAAACAUAAGUGAGUUAAACCCUUUAAUCAUCAUGAAACUUCUACAAAGAACAGAAGAACUGCUUCUGUAUCUCUCCACCUACCUUACCUGCAAAAUCAGACAGACCAGCGGUCCUCCUAUCAACUGUGUGAUAUUCUUUAUCAGAAAGACACAAAUGGAAUCUUAUUCGUUCACCUAGUAGCAUCUGCUGUAGAAAAAUCACUCAGCCCCAUUUUAAGACAUGCUUCCCAAACAAACUCAUCAGAAUUGCUUUUCAGUUCUCUGAAGCAGAGUAUUAUCUGGAUUUUUGUUCUUGGUACGAGAGAGGAAACAGAAUAUGUCAAAUUGAAAAUAGAAACUAUUAACUAGAAUGAAAAUAUCCUCCCUGGAAUCUAGCCAGAACAACUGGGAAGACAUUCAUUCCAGCUCCACUGAAAAAUGCCGAAUGACCUUUGAAGACAUGAUUUUAAGGCCUCAUUUUUAUAUUCUACCUGAUAAAUAGCACCUGUCCUAGCGUCAUGCCUGACAUCACACUGGGGAACUGCAUCAGUCUGAACUCACAAUACCACAGAUGGAGGCAAAACCAUUGUUCCCUAAUGCUCUUAUUUGUCCUUAAAGAUUUCUGUCUAAGAACUGAUUAGGCCCCAUCCUCUUCCGACUAAGAAACCUGCAAGAAGUCAAACCCAAGCAUGUUCUAGCACAGCCAGUAAGACAAACACCACAGAUAGUUUCAGCGAGACCAGGACAGUAGUUGUUCCUGUAUGUACUAAGCACAUGACCAUGAAACAAACUUUGAAUAAAACUAUCAAGCAAGACUCAGCAAACAAUUUGGGGCUCCAUGAUCAACAGAUUUCUUCUCACAUACUGUUUUCUCUCCAUCAAGUAUCCCACUGAAACCAUGAUGGAAGAGAAAUGCAAAGGCCAGCGGAUUUCAGGCCUUCAGAGCUGAAAGGACUGGUGUAAGG